GCCGGGUGUGGUGGCACGCACCUGUAGUCCCAGCUACUCGGGAGGCUGAGGCAGAAGAAUCGCUUGAACCCAGGAGGCGGAGGUUGCAGUGAGCCGAGAUUGCACCACUGCACUCCAGCCUGGGUGACAGAGCGAGACUCAGUCUCAA
This 148-nucleotide non-coding RNA is filed under the name Homo sapiens (human). Lineage: Eukaryota; Metazoa; Chordata; Mammalia; Primates; Hominidae. The record is from Rfam by way of RNAcentral.